This 347-nucleotide unclassified non-coding RNA is filed under the name soil metagenome. RNAcentral describes it as "partial contains 5.8S ribosomal RNA, internal transcribed spacer 2, and large subunit ribosomal RNA". The stretch from base 1 to 120 matches the Rfam family "5.8S ribosomal RNA", at positions 35 to 154 of the family's 154-position model. The record is from RNAcentral.
GAUGAAGAACGCAGCGAACUGCGAUAAGUAAUGUGAAUUGCAGAAUUCAGUGAAUCAUCGAGUCUUUGAACGCACAUUGCGCCCCCUGGUAUUCCGGGGGGCAUGCCUGUCCGAGCGUCAUUGCUGCCCUCAAGCACGGCUUGUGUGUUGGGCCCCGCCCCCCGGUCUCGGGGGGCGGACCCGAAAGGCAGCGGCGGCACCGCGUCCGGUCCUCGAGCGUAUGGGGCUUCGUCACCCGCUCUGUAGGCCCGGCCGGCGCCCGCCGGCGACCCCAAUCAAUCUAUCCAGGUUGACCUCGGAUCAGGUAGGGAUACCCGCUGAACUUAAGCAUAUCAAUAAGCGGAGGA